RNAcentral lists this ribosomal RNA (253 nucleotides) under uncultured bacterium. Its description in RNAcentral is "partial 16S ribosomal RNA". It matches the Rfam family "Bacterial small subunit ribosomal RNA", at positions 524 to 776 of the family's 1533-position model. The record is from RNAcentral.
UACAGCGGUGGCAAGCGUUGUUCGGAAUUACUGGGCGUAAAGGGCUCGUAGGCGGCCAACUAAGUCGGACGUGAAAUCCCUCAGCUUAACUGGGGAACUGCGUCCGAUACUGGAUGGCUUGGAUUUGGGAGAGGGAUGCGGAAUUCCAGGUGUAGCGGUGAAAUGCGUAGAUAUUCGCAAGAACACCAGUGGCGAAGGCGGCUCACUGGCCCGAUACUGACGCUGAGGCACGAAAGCGUGGGGAGCAAACAGG